Molecule: ribosomal RNA, 490 nt
Filed under: uncultured bacterium
Lineage: Bacteria
Description: bacterial SSU rRNA
Rfam family: Bacterial small subunit ribosomal RNA
Source: RNAcentral
UCACUGAAGGAUGGACCCGCGGCGUAUUAGCCAGUUGGUGGGGUAACGGCCUACCANAGCGAUGAUACGUAGCCGACCUGAGAGGGUAAUCGGCCACAUUGGGACUGAGACACGGCCCAAACUCCUACGGGAGGCAGCAGUAGGGAAUCUUCCACAAUGGACGCAAGUCUGAUGGAGCAACGCCGCGUGAGUGAAGAAGGCUUUCGGGUCGUAAAACUCUGUUAUUGAAGAAGAACGUGCGUGACAGUAACUGGUCAUGCAGUGACGGUAUUCAAUCAGAAAGUCACGGCUAACUACGUGCCAGCAGCCGCGGUAAUACGUAGGUGGCAAGCGUUGUCCGGAUUUAUUGGGCGUAAAGCGAGUGCAGGCGGUCUUUUAAGUCUGAUGUGAAAGCCUUCGGCUUAACCGAAGAAGGGCAUCGGAAACUGGGAGACUUGAGUGCAGAAGAGGAGAGUGGAACUCCAUGCGUAGCGGUGAAAUGCGUAGAUAU